GGCGCGGCACUGAUUAAUGGCUCCCCCUUGGCGUGGUGCUGAGAUCUGCAACUAUCGGGUAUAUUUCCCACUCGGUUGUCAUUGGUUGCAUGAUUCGUUGCUGCAGCUACCGACGCAGUUAUCGUGCCACCAUUAUCAUGCCGGCAGAGUAGCCAUAGGCGUGUCUGACGAUUCGCUGUAUCCUGGCACCAUUCCCGAAGCAUUUAUGCAACUAGGCAGGGCUAUUCUCAGUCGGUGAUCAGUUGGACGUGAUUUUAUUUACUACAAGUUUUACGAUCUUGGCCACAUUCAGGUCCGGAUCCCGUCAUCCCACCCGUUGCCAACGUGCUCUUUCUUUCGCAACACUUCGUGAUCGGCGUCGGUACGCUAUUAAACUCUUGUUGGCGGGUCACUUCCGGAUGCCCAGCCUUUAUCUACAAUAACCCAGGAUUCAGAUCUAAGGGUUGACCGUCUCCCUUGCAAAGGAAAACACCUAGAACCCAGAACCUUUCAACGGUCUCACGUUCGUCUCAAGGGUAACCUCACUUUCCGUGAUUGGUUGCAAUGUCGAGCUGGGAAUAGUCGUGGCGUAGCAUUAAAGGUGUGGAAGUGGUCUAUCCUUCUGAAAAGCAACGCAGCAUGGAGUUGAGCAAUUGCAUGAUAGGCUGCGUACCCCCUUGAAGUGAUAGUAGUACAUUUAUGCAGUGUGUGAUGAGCACUGACGUUUGGAGGUGACAGUGCCUUGACCCUACAUGGGUUACAUCCUCUUCUCUCAUUGGUGGAGGAUCAUUGGUGGUGACAUUGCGGCAAGUUCACAGUGCUUUAUGCUCAAAGUCACAGUCCAACUUGGAAAAAUCGUAUUUGAAUGUGCUGCUAUUACCCCCCCCCCUAUUUUAUUUUUUAUUUUUUAAAAUUUAUUUUUCUCUCCCGUACCAAAAACACAAUGCGCAAGGACCCCAAAGUUAUCAGGUAUAACAUCAACCGACUUUAAGCCUACUUUCAACAUUCAGACAGUCCUUUCGGUAAUUCUAGAAGUAAAUUCUUUCUCUUCUUUACUACUAGUUCAAUUAUUUUUUUUUGUUCUGUGAAGUUUGCUUGGGAUUGGUUCUUCUGAGAAAAGCUUUUGUCAUUGCGAUGGUUGUAACUAUCCUUUUGGUAAGAAUUAUUUGCUCAUUUAUUCUCUCAAAGUAAUUGGUAGAUGAUUGGAUUACCUUGACUUUUUCCUUCGCACAUUGAUGUGCUUCUUCACAGUCACACUGCAAACCUUCAUCUCAACAACAUUAAAAGUUACAUAGAAAAUGCUGUAAACUAUUCUUCUUGACAAAAUCGUAUAGAAUCUUGCUUAAGAUUACCACUAAAUUCUAGAUUACCAC
This 1352-nucleotide long non-coding RNA is filed under the name Physcomitrium patens. RNAcentral describes it as "long non-coding RNA (PPAT_LNC012456)". The record is from RNAcentral. Lineage: Eukaryota; Viridiplantae; Streptophyta; Bryopsida; Funariales; Funariaceae.